GACGAACGCUGGCGGCGUGCUUAACACAUGCAAGUCGAACGGAAAGGCCCUGCUUUUGUGGGGUGCUCGAGUGGCGAACGGGUGAGUAACACGUGAGUAACCUGCCCUUGACUUUGGGAUAACUUCAGGAAACUGGGGCUAAUACCGGCUAGGAGCUCCUGCUGCAUGGUGGGGGUUGGAAAGUUUCGGCGGUUGGGGAUGGACUCGCGGCUUAUCAGCUUGUUGGUGGGGUAGUGGCUUACCCAGGCUUUGACGGGUAGCCGGCCUGAGAGGGUGACCGGCCACAUUGGGACUGAGGUACGGCCCAGACGCCUACGGGAGGCAGCAGUGGGGAAUAUUGCACAAUGGGCGGAAGCCUGAUGCAGCAACGCCGCGUGCGGGAUGACGGCCUUCGGGUUGUAAACCGCUUUCGCCUGUGACGAAGCGUGAGUGACGGUAAUGGGUAAAGAAGCACCGGCUAACUACGUG
This 468-nucleotide ribosomal RNA is filed under the name uncultured bacterium. RNAcentral describes it as "partial 16S ribosomal RNA". It matches the Rfam family "Bacterial small subunit ribosomal RNA", at positions 28 to 507 of the family's 1533-position model. The record is from RNAcentral.